UACGAAGGGGGCUAGCGUUGCUCGGAAUCACUGGGCGUAAAGCGCACGUAGGCGGAUUGUUAAGUCAGGGGUGAAAUCCUGGAGCUCAACUCCAGAACUGCCUUUGAUACUGGCGAUCUCGAGUCCGGGAGAGGUGAGUGGAACUGCGAGUGUAGAGGUGAAAUUCGUAGAUAUUCGCAAGAACACCAGUGGCGAAGGCGGCGCACUGGCCCGGUACUGACGCUGAGGUGCGAAAGCGUGGGGAGCAAACAGG
Molecule: ribosomal RNA, 253 nt
Filed under: uncultured bacterium
Lineage: Bacteria
Description: partial 16S ribosomal RNA
Rfam family: Bacterial small subunit ribosomal RNA
Source: RNAcentral